RNAcentral lists this ribosomal RNA (370 nucleotides) under uncultured organism. RNAcentral describes it as "partial 16S ribosomal RNA". It matches the Rfam family "Bacterial small subunit ribosomal RNA", at positions 527 to 896 of the family's 1533-position model. The record is from RNAcentral.
GUAGGUGGCAAGCGUUGUCCGGAGUUAUUGGGCGUAAAGCGCGCGCAGGCGGUUCUUUAAGUCUGAUGUGAAAGCCCACGGCUCAACCGUGGAGGGUCAUUGGAAACUGGAGAACUUGAGUACAGAAGAGGAAAGCGGAAUUCCACGUGUAGCGGUGAAAUGCGUAGAGAUGUGGAGGAACACCAGUGGCGAAGGCGGCUUUCUGGUCUGUAACUGACGCUGAGGCGCGAAAGCGUGGGGAGCAAACAGGAUUAGAUACCCUGGUAGUCCACGCCGUAAAUGAUGAGUGCUAAGUGUUAGGGGGUUUCCGCCCCUUAGUGCUGCAGCUAACGCAUUAAGCACUCCGCCUGGGAGUACGGCCGCAAGGCUG